RNAcentral lists this ribosomal RNA (442 nucleotides) under uncultured bacterium. RNAcentral's name for it is "partial 16S ribosomal RNA". It matches the Rfam family "Bacterial small subunit ribosomal RNA", at positions 338 to 795 of the family's 1533-position model. The record is from RNAcentral.
CCUACGGGAGGCAGCAGUGGGGAAUAUUGGGCAAUGGACGCAAGUCUGACCCAGCAACGCCGCGUGAAGGAAGAAGGCUUUAGGGUUGUAAACUUCUUUUUAGGGAGAAGAGCAGAAGACGGUACCCCUUGAAUAAGCCACGGCUAACUACGUGCCAGCAGCCGCGGUAAUACGGAGGUGGCAAGCGUUGUCCGGAUUUACUGGGUUUAAAGGGUGUGCAGCCGGGAAGACAAGUCAGAUGUGAAAUUCCGCGGCUCAACCGCAGAACUGCAUUUGAAACUGUUUGUCUUGAGUAUCGGAGAGGUAAGCGGAAUUCCUGGUGGAGCGGUGAAAUGCGUAGAUAUUAGGAAGAACACCAAUGGCGAAGGCGGAUUACUGGACGACAACUGACGGUGAGGCGCGAAAGCGUGGGGAGCAAACAGGAUUAGAUACCCGAGUAGUC